AUGCUGGAGGUAUCAGAAGUGCGAAUGCUGACAUAAGUAACGAUAAAGCGGGUGAAAAGCCCGCUCGCCGGAAGACCAAGGGUUCCUGUCCAACGUUAAUCGGGGCAGGGUGAGUCGACCCCUAAGGCGAGGCCGAAAGGCGUAGUCGAUGGGAAACAGGUUAAUAUUCCUGUACUUGGUGUUACUGCGAAGGGGGGACGGAGAAGGCUAUGUUGGCCGGGCGACGGUUGUCCCGGUUUAAGCGUGUAGGCUGGUUUUCCAGGCAAAUCCGGAAAAUCAAGGCUGAGGCGUGAUGACGAGGCACUACGGUGCUGAAGCAACAAAUGCCCUGCUUCCAGGAAAAGCCUCUAAGCAUCAGGUAACAUCAAAUCGUACCCCAAACCGACACAGGUGGUCAGGUAGAGAAUACCAAGGCGCUUGAGAGAACUCGGGUGAAGGAACUAGGCAAAAUGGUGCCGUAACUUCGGGAGAAGGCACGCUGAUACGUAGGUGAAGUCCCUUGCGGAUGGAGCUGAAAUCAGUCGAAGAUACCAGCUGGCUGCAACUGUUUAUUAAAAACACAGCACUGUGCAAACACGAAAGUGGACGUAUACGGUGUGACGCCUGCCCGGUGCCGGAAGGUUAAUUGAUGGGGUUAGCGGUAACGCGAAGCUCUUGAUCGAAGCCCCGGUAAACGGCGGCCGUAACUAUAACGGUCCUAAGGUAGCGAAAUUCCUUGUCGGGUAAGUUCCGACCUGCACGAAUGGCGUAAUGAUGGCCAGGCUGUCUCCACCCGAGACUCAGUGAAAUUGAACUCGCUGUGAAGAUGCAGUGUACCCGCGGCAAGACGGAAAGACCCCGUGAACCUUUACUAUAGCUUGACACUGAACAUUGAGCCUUGAUGUGUAGGAUAGGUGGGAGGCUUUGAAGUGUGGACGCCAGUCUGCAUGGAGCCGACCUUGAAAUACCACCCUUUAAUGUUUGAUGUUCUAACGUUGGCCCCUGAUCGGGGUUGCGGACAGUGUCUGGUGGGUAGUUUGACUGGGGCGGUCUCCUCCUAAAGAGUAACGGAGGAGCACGAAGGUUGGCUAAUCCUGGUCGGACAUCAGGAGGUUAGUGCAAUGGCAUAAGCCAGCUUGACUGCGAGCGUGACGGCGCGAGCAGGUGCGAAAGCAGGUCAUAGUGAUCCGGUGGUUCUGAAUGGAAGGGCCAUCGCUCAACGGAUAAAAGGUACUCCGGGGAUAACAGGCUGAUACCGCCCAAGAGUUCAUAUCGACGGCGGUGUUUGGCACCUCGAUGUCGGCUCAUCACAUCCUGGGGCUGAAGUAGGUCCCAAGGGUAUGGCUGUUCGCCAUUUAAAGUGGUACGCGAGCUGGGUUUAGAACGUCGUGAGACAGUUCGGUCCCUAUCUGCCGUGGGCGCUGGAGAACUGAGGGGGGCUGCUCCUAGUACGAGAGGACCGGAGUGGACGCAUCACUGGUGUUCGGGUUGUCAUGCCAAUGGCACUGCCCGGUAGCUAAAUGCGGAAGAGAUAAGUGCUGAAAGCAUCUAAGCACGAAACUUGCCCCGAGAUGAGUUCUCCCUGACUCCUUGA
Molecule: ribosomal RNA, 1573 nt
Filed under: Escherichia coli
Lineage: Bacteria; Pseudomonadati; Pseudomonadota; Gammaproteobacteria; Enterobacterales; Enterobacteriaceae
Description: bacterial LSU rRNA
Rfam family: Bacterial large subunit ribosomal RNA
Source: RNAcentral